GACGAACGCUGGCGGCGUGCUUAACACAUGCAAGUCGAACGAUGAAGAAGGGCUUGCUCUUCGGAUUAGUGGCGAACGGGUGAGUAACACGUGACUAACCUGCCCCUUUCUCUGGGAUAACGCUCCGAAAGGAGUGCUAAUACCGGAUACUCACAUCGAGGCACCUGCCUUGAUGUGGAAAGUUUUUCGGAAAGGGAUGGAGUCGCGGCCUAUCAGCUUGUUGGUGAGGUAACGGCUCACCAAGGCGACGACGGGUAGCCGGCCUGGGAGGGCGACCGGCCACACUGGGACUGAGACACGGCCCAGACUCCUACGGGAGGCAGCAGUGGGGAAUAUUGCACAAUGGGCGAAAGCCUGAUGCAGCGACGCCGCGUGAGGGAUGAAGGUCUUCGGAUUGUAAACCUCUUUCAGUAGGGACGAAGCGAAAGUGACGGUACCUAAAGAAGAAGCACCGACUAACUAUGUGCCAGCCGCCGCGGUAA
This 482-nucleotide ribosomal RNA is filed under the name uncultured bacterium. RNAcentral's name for it is "partial 16S ribosomal RNA". It matches the Rfam family "Bacterial small subunit ribosomal RNA", at positions 28 to 523 of the family's 1533-position model. The record is from RNAcentral.